Molecule: transfer RNA, 86 nt
Filed under: Clostridia bacterium
Lineage: Bacteria; Bacillati; Bacillota; Clostridia
Description: tRNA-Leu
Rfam family: tRNA
About the family: Transfer RNA (tRNA) molecules are approximately 80 nucleotides in length. Their secondary structure includes four short double-helical elements and three loops (D, anti-codon, and T loops).
Source: RNAcentral
GCCGGUGUGGCGGAAUGGCAGACGCAUGGGACUUAAAAUCCCAAGUCAGCAAUGGCGUGUGGGUUCGAGUCCCACCACCGGCACCA